This 285-nucleotide unclassified non-coding RNA is filed under the name Hevea brasiliensis (rubber tree). The record is from RNAcentral. Lineage: Eukaryota; Viridiplantae; Streptophyta; Magnoliopsida; Malpighiales; Euphorbiaceae.
GUUCAUAAUGCGAAAGGAUGCUGGAAAAUUCAUCCACUUCAAUGGACCUUUCACAGUUUCAGCAAUAGCUGACUUUGUAUCCAUGAACAAGUUUCCUUUGGUAACCACUUUCAAUGCGCAAACUGCUUUGCCAAUUCUUACGAAUCCAAUGAAACAGUUAUGGCUUUUUGCUCUUGAUGAUGAUUUAGAUAAGGUUGUGUCCGUAUUCCAAGAGGCAGCAAAAGCUUUUAAUGGAAAGCUUCUGUUUGUCUAUAUCAAAAUGGACCAUAAAGAUGUUGGAAAGCG